AGUCCCCGUCCUCUAUUUACACGACGAAAAAAGGGACUGUACCUGAUUUCGGCUAAAUAGAGUUAUCCCCCUCCUCCCUUUAACGCUUUUUAGAAGCAAAACAAACUGUUAAUGUCGCAGUUGACUAGUCAAAUCAUAGACGUCGGUAUCUACAGAUGUUGACGUCGAAUCGUUUCACGUGUAAGCUUCUGGGUUUGGUUUUUAGUUUUUCCUCUCCUAAACUCUCCCGUAGGUUAUAAUGAAAAUAUUGAAAGAAAAGAGUUGAAACCCUUUACUCUGUGCGAUCCAAAAUUACAGCCACAGGUGACCUAAAGUUUCUACGCAAUGUUGAUUCAUUUUAUUUGAAUGAAGUAACGUUUCAGAAAAUUAAUCUGCACUUUUCACCUCAAGACCAAGAUACAGAUUAGAAUAUUUGCUGUUGUCCUAAACAAAACUUUGAAAGAUAUGUCGACAGACUUUUGGGACUAGGGUGAGUUAGACGUUGAUUCUGAUUGCCCUUCUAGAGAUAGUCGAUGAUCAGUUGGUUUAUUAUUGGUGUUGUGUGUUUGUGUGAUUUUUAUGCGUUUUUCUUAAUCUGUGAUCAGAAAGCUAACAUAAUGGCUGAAGUCGUCUCAGCAUCGUUACAUAGUCUGUCCAACUUACCUGACAAUAUUUUGUUGGAAAUUAUUGCCUAUCUUCCCGUUCACUGCUUGGGAAGACUGGCUUGUGUAAGUCAACGGUUUUGCAAGAUUGUUCAAGAUGACAUGAUUUGGAAACGCAUGUUCUGUAAGCAGUAUAAGGUGGUAUUACCACUUCCUCCAGGAGCUGAGUCGUGGCGUAGUGAAUAUCAGCGACUGAGUGACCAAGCUCCUGUUGUACUAUGCCAAGUGCUCAGAGGUCACAGAGCUGAGGUGCUGCAUGUCAGCUUUUCGCACAGUGGUCACAUAUUUGCUACUAGCUCCAAAGAUGGAAUAGUUAUGGUAUGGAAGGCAGACAUUCCUUGCUCACUGCAAUUCAGUGUCAACACAGUCCAUAGGCUGAACUGGGUGUACACUGUCUUCUCACAGUUCAGCAUGUCUGACACCAAGCUACUUGUCUCAGGCUAUCACAGCAGCAGCUUCAGUGCCUUUGGCCAACUUGCUGUUUUUGAUUUGCAAAGCUUGGAACUUGUCUCUCUCGUGGAGAAUGACCCUUUGGAUCUCUAUGGUGCGUGGUAUGAUGACAAUCACUUUCUGUCAGGAACUAUCCAGCAGACUGAGAAUGACACAUCUAUUUCAUCUAUAUGGUUAAACAAGAUAAGUGGGACUUCCUCAGUCAAAACAGCUGGCGUGGCAAGUUGCCUGUAUCACUUCCAGAAUGUGAGCAGUGGCUGCAUUCGCACUAUCUUGCUGGCUGACUGUUCUUCCCCUCGACUGCCUUUGUUGACAACUGCUGAAUGUGGUCAGAGUAGACACAGUGCAAGCGACUGUUUUGAAAAUAGCUGUGACAAACGGUGGCCUCUGACCUUGGAAGACGAGUUACACAACACCACACUAGGCAUGGGAUUUGAAAAAAAAUCGAGUGACCAUAGCAGUGGUGGUCAAAAAGCUGCUUUGGUGCCAACAUUUGCAGGGUCUUUUAUGCAGUCUGUUUCAUGUGAACAUGUAGAAUCAUUUGAAAGUGCAUUGGAUCAGAAACAAACAGGAAGAACUUCAGCCGUGCAAAUUUCCACCCAUGAAGGCAAGCUGUUAGUAUGCUCUAUGAGCUUAGACACAUAUGCACCACAUGUGAUAGGCAUCAAACGGUUACAGAUGGAGAAAAUUAAAGACAGCAUGUCAGCAGGCGAGGGAUGGGUUGAACGAUCAGAUGGUGUUCAAAAUCUGCCAGAUAUGCAUGCUGACAUGGCUAUAAACCAUCAAAUUGAUUCCAUGGAUCAUGAGAUCAACGUACAUGGACGUAUUGUGGGCAUGGCAUUAUCCCCAGAUCAUAGAUGUGAUGGAGCCACCACCGAUGUCAAAGAAUAUGGAAGUUCGUGUUCUUGACCUUCAAUCUCUGCAGGAAACAGGCUCUGUGUUUAGUUCACAUAAAGCUUUCUCCCCCAACCAUCAGUGUUUCUUCGUCUUCUUGGAUGUCAGCAAGCACUAUGUUGCAAGUGGUGCUGAAAACAAGCAGGGCUACCUGUGGGAUCGUGACUAUAACGUAUUUCUUGGUAGCUUCCUCCACUCGGAUGUUGUCAGUUGUGUGGCAUUCAAUCCAUGCAAUGAGGAGAUGCUAGUUACUGUUGGUGAUG
RNAcentral lists this unclassified non-coding RNA (2248 nucleotides) under Pomacea canaliculata. RNAcentral's name for it is "f-box/WD repeat-containing protein 5-like, transcript variant X7". The record is from RNAcentral. Lineage: Eukaryota; Metazoa; Mollusca; Gastropoda; Architaenioglossa; Ampullariidae.